GUUCUCGCUUUGGCAGCACAUAUACUAAAAUUGGAAUGAUACAGAGAAGAUUAGCAUGAUUAGCAUGGCCCCUGCGCAAGAAUGACAUGCAAAUUCGUGAAGCGUUCCAUAUUUUU
Molecule: small nuclear RNA, 116 nt
Filed under: Physeter macrocephalus (sperm whale)
Lineage: Eukaryota; Metazoa; Chordata; Mammalia; Artiodactyla; Physeteridae
Source: RNAcentral